RNAcentral lists this ribosomal RNA (102 nucleotides) under Pteropus alecto (black flying fox). Lineage: Eukaryota; Metazoa; Chordata; Mammalia; Chiroptera; Pteropodidae. The record is from RNAcentral.
GGAGAUGGCCAUGCCACCCUGAACGUGCCUGAAGCUGAGCAGGAUUGGCCCUGGUUAGUACUUCGAUGGGAGACCACUUGGAAAUAUCAGGUGCUAUAGGCU